UACGUAGGGCGCAAGCGUUGUCCGGAAUUAUUGGGCGUAAAGAGCUCGUAGGCGGUUUGUCGCGUCUGCUGUGAAAACCUAAGGCUCAACCUUGGGCUUGCAGUGGGUACGGGCAGACUAGAGUGCGGUAGGGGUGACUGGAAUUCCUGGUGUAGCGGUGGAAUGCGCAGAUAUCAGGAGGAACACCGAUGGCGAAAGCGGCUUCCUGGUCCAGCACCGACGUUCAGGCACGAAAGCGUGGGGAGCAAACAGG
RNAcentral lists this ribosomal RNA (253 nucleotides) under uncultured bacterium. RNAcentral describes it as "partial 16S ribosomal RNA". It matches the Rfam family "Bacterial small subunit ribosomal RNA", at positions 524 to 776 of the family's 1533-position model. The record is from RNAcentral.